Molecule: unclassified non-coding RNA, 346 nt
Filed under: uncultured fungus
Lineage: Eukaryota; Fungi
Description: partial contains 5.8S ribosomal RNA, internal transcribed spacer 2, and large subunit ribosomal RNA
Source: RNAcentral
AACGCAUAUGGCACCCGAGACUUCGGUCGAGGGUAUGUCUGUCUCAGAGUCGGCGUAAAAACAUCCCCAAAGGAAUAGGGAGAACACACGUUGUGGUGUUGUCCCUUGUCCGGCGGGGGAGCUGGCCCUCCCGGGCUUCGCUGCCCGGGUCGGCUGAAGGGUAGAGACGGGGGACCGCACGCGCGGACAGCCACGAUUUUGGUGGGAGGACCCAGCGUCCGCAUCAUCGAUCGAGGCCGUCCUGUCGAAAGCGUCGGUAGAAGUAGAAGCCCCCGCCCUCGCAGGAGAAAGCUUAACUUUCUAGUUUUCCGACCUGAGAUCAGGCAAGAUCACCCGCUGAACUUAA